AUUGAACGCUGGCGGCAGGCCUAACACAUGCAAGUCGAGCGGAUGAAGGGAGCUUGCUCCUGGAUUCAGCGGCGGACGGGUGAGUAAUGCCUAGGAAUCUGCCUGGCAGUGGGGGAUAACGUCCGGAAACGGGCGCUAAUACCGCAUACGUCCUGAGGGAGAAAGUGGGGGAUCUUCGGACCUCACGCUAUCAGAUGAGCCUAGGUCGGAUUAGCUAGUUGGUGGGGUAAAGGCCUACCAAGGCGACGAUCCGUAACUGGUCUGAGAGGAUGAUAGGUCACACUGGAACUGGGACACGGUCCAGGCUCCUACGGGAGGCAGCAGUGGGGAAUGUUGGACAAUGGGCGAAAGCCUGGUCCAGCCAUGCCGCGUGUGUGAAGAAGGUCUUCGGAUUGUAAAGCACUUUAAGUUGGGAGGAAGGGCAGUAAGUUAAUACCUUGCUGUUUUGACGUUACCAACAGAAUAAGCACCGGCUAACUUCGUG
Molecule: ribosomal RNA, 484 nt
Filed under: uncultured bacterium
Lineage: Bacteria
Description: partial 16S ribosomal RNA
Rfam family: Bacterial small subunit ribosomal RNA
Source: RNAcentral